UGCUGUUGUGGAUCUGCUGACAACUACAUUCUGGUCUGUUUCAUAUAAAGAAAAUAAUAGUGUGGAGAGAAAUGUAUACAUAACAUGAAAUUAUCAGUGACAAAUAUUAUACAGUAUUUAUGAUACAGUUUUAAAGUACUGUAGAAUACUUUCUGAGGCGUCUACGUGACGACAUCAUGAGAGAAAAAAACGACGGCGCCGCACUGAUAUCCAUUGUCCAGAACUUGCCCAGAUCACAUCGGCAUAAAGGCUAAUUAAAGCGCGGAACCACAUGUAUGGGAGAUAAGGAGUACUGUUCCACAGUCCUUUAACAAUAACAUCUACAUAGAUGCCAUCUGUGUUUCGAGGGGCGUUCCUAAUGAGUUUAAAGCAAGGAAUCAAAUUUACGCAGGAUUCGAGUCAUCCGUCUUCUGGUGGGUCACGUUCAUAAGAACGUGGACUGGAUGAACUAUAUACUGUAUGCUACAAUCUGCAAAGAUUCAUAAAUUUCACCAGAGAUCGUCUUAAAAGUACAGCCAAUCAACUGGAUGCCACAAGCCUCAGGGCAUAGCAAAAUAGAUUAGCUCUAGAUAUGCUUCUGACAAAAAAAGGAGGUGUGACUUUAAUUGUGUUUGUGUAGCUUUGCUAUGUACAUGUCUAAUAUAUCUACACUUUGUUCACUAAAUAAAGGGAUAUCUGUUGCAUAUAUCUGAGAUAUAUAUACACAUAUAUACAUAUAAUGUAUGUAUGUUUUAUUAGCACAAAUUUGUAUAUAAUCACAUGCGUAUUUUAAUAGUAUAGAGAAAGCUUAAGGAAUUUUGGUGGCAAAAAUAACCAUGUUUUUGUACAUAUACAAAACCCCAUUGUGUAGAGUGUGUACUCCGCUUUCCUGCAGCACCCUGUGUGUCUUACUCCCCAUGGGUUAUGUGUCUUACUCCUCAUGGGUUACCCCGUGUGUCUUACUCCUCAUGGGUUACCUAUGAGUGUGUCACUCUGCAGAGAAUAAAGUUAUUUACUGUU
This is a long non-coding RNA of Tachysurus fulvidraco (yellow catfish), 999 nucleotides long. RefSeq lists it as uncharacterized. The transcript has 3 exons. NCBI's taxonomy places the organism in Eukaryota, Metazoa, Chordata, Actinopteri, Siluriformes, Bagridae. The record is from RefSeq and is a predicted model, not a curated record.